UACGUAGGGGGCGAGCGUUGUCCGAAUUUACUGGGCGUAAAGCGCGUGUAGGCGGCUUUGUAAGUCAGAUGUGAAAUCCUGUGGCUCAACCACAGAACUGCAUUUGAAACUACAAGGCUUGAGUUUGGGAGAGGAAAGUGGAAUUCCUGGUGUAGCGGUGAAAUGCGUAGAUAUCAGGAGGAACACCCGUGGCGAAGGCGGCUUUCUGGCCCAACACUGACGCUGAGACGCGAAAGCUAGGGAGCGAACGGGAUUAGAUACCCCGGUAGUCCUAGCCGUAAACGAUGGAUACUAGGUGUAAGUGGUAUCGACCCCACUUGUGCCGUAGCUAACGCAUUAAGUAUCCCGCCUGGGGAGUACGGCCGCAAGGUUGAA
Molecule: ribosomal RNA, 375 nt
Filed under: uncultured bacterium
Lineage: Bacteria
Description: bacterial SSU rRNA
Rfam family: Bacterial small subunit ribosomal RNA
Source: RNAcentral